Molecule: ribosomal RNA, 424 nt
Filed under: Fusobacteriota bacterium
Lineage: Bacteria; Fusobacteriati; Fusobacteriota
Description: Fusobacteria bacterium partial 16S ribosomal RNA
Rfam family: Bacterial small subunit ribosomal RNA
Source: RNAcentral
UGAGGAAUAUUGGUCAAUGGGCGAGAGCCUGAACCAGCCAAGUCGCGUGAAGGAAGACAGUCCUAAGGAUUGUAAACUUCUUUUAUACGGGAAUAACGGGCGAUACGAGUAUUGCAUUGAAUGUACCGUAAGAAUAAGCAUCGGCUAACUCCGUGCCAGCAGCCGCGGUAAUACGGAGGAUGCGAGCGUUAUCCGGAUUUAUUGGGUUUAAAGGGUGCGUAGGUUGUUCGGUAAGUCAGCGGUGAAACCUGAGCGCUCAACGUUCAGCCUGACGUUGAAACUGCCGGGCUUGAGUUCAGUGGCGGCAGGCGGAAGUCGGGGUGUAGCGGUGAAAUGCAUAGAUAUCACGAGGAACUCCGAUUGCGAAGGCAGCUUGCCAUACUGCGACUGACACUGAAGCACGAAGGCGUGGGUAUCAAACAGG